UAGCUAGAGUUUGAUCCUGGCUCAGGAUGAACGCUGGCGGCGUGCUUAACACAUGCAAGUCGAGCGGAGUGAAUUGAGAGCUUGCUUUUGAUUCACUUAGCGGCGGACGGGUGAGUAACGUGUGGGCAACCUGCCUCAUACUGUGGAAUAACCACCGGAAACGGUGACUAAUACCGCAUGUGGUGUCGGGAAGGCAUCUUUCUGACAAGAAAGGAUUUAUUCGGUAUGAGAUGGGCCCGCAUCUGAUUAGCUAGUUGGUGAGAUAACAGCCCACCAAGGCGACGAUCAGUAGCCGACCUGAGAGGGUGACCGGCCACAUUGGGACUGAGACACGGCCCAAACUCCUACGGGAGGCAGCAGUGGGGAAUAUUGCACAAUGGGGGAAACCCUGAUGCAGCAACGCCGCGUGAAGGAAGACGGUUUUCGGAUUGUAAACUUCUAUCAAUAGGGAAGAAAGAAAUGACGGUACCUAAAUAAGAAGCCCCGGCUAACUACGUGCCAGCAGCCGCGGUAA
This 514-nucleotide ribosomal RNA is filed under the name uncultured bacterium. RNAcentral describes it as "bacterial SSU rRNA". It matches the Rfam family "Bacterial small subunit ribosomal RNA", at positions 1 to 523 of the family's 1533-position model. The record is from RNAcentral.